GCAUACGGAAGUCCCCAGGUUAGGGGUAGAAUCAGAGCUGCAGGUGCCGGCCUGCACCACAGCCACAGCCAUACAGGAUCCAAGCCACACCUGUGACCUACACCACAGCUCAUGGCAACACUAGAUCCUUAACCCACCAAGUAAAGCCAGGAAUGGAACCCGUGUGCUCAUGAAUACGAGUCGGGCCAUUAUUUACACAGUGAACGACACGCCCUAAAAUCCAGGGUCAUCUUACGUAUGCGGUUUUGUUGAACCGCAACAUCAAGUAUCAUUCACCGCACGUCUGGCUGGUGCCAGUGCCUGGCAACUAAGAACGCGCUCUCCCCCGAGGCCUUUCCGAGCAGCUCCGGGAGCGUCCCCGCCGCCCACUGAGCACCCCGUGGACCCCGAGGAGGCCUGGGCGUCCCCGCCUGCAUCCUGACGGGAACCGGGCAGGCCCAGCCGAGGUUACCUUCCGGAGACUGUGCCUGUCCGCCCGGAGUCUCUUCCCAGGCGCGCCCUCAGCGUCGGCAGCUUCGGUGGAGUCCUGGGUCCUUUUCACGUGGUUCCUUUUUUUCCCAUUUAAGUUACCUGGGAAGGGGAACGGGGGAAACGGCCAUGACCACCACCCCAGGAGCCACCCUCGAAAGCACAGAGCCAGCCUGGGACGGGCCCCCCGGAGCCCUGCGCACGCCCGGGCCUAAGUCCCACAGGGCAACGCUCUCUGCACGUUCCAAACUGCAAGGGACCAUUUCCCGUGAGAGGAGAAAAUCCUCCUCUAGAGGUGAUUUAUUGGUCCCUAGUGCAGUCUAAUGCACGGUGGCACUAAAUUUAAAUAUAACCCGGCCUCUGCGUUUUCACCCUUUAGUAACUUCGGACGGGCGGACUUUAGGUUGAACUUUAAAAACAGGAGCAACUUGCUACUUGUAGCACAUUGCCCUGCAGAAGCAUCUUAAGUGGCAGCACUAACUCCAUCUGCCAUCUGUGAACCCAGGGCCUCUGCAGGAACACCGCCUGCCCAGAUGUCAGGGGUCCAAGCUGUGCUGACCCAGAAAAGCAAGACGGAAGGGCAGAGUCAGCGUCUAGAGAGCUGGUGGGCUUGCCCAGGCCAGUGCUGCGGGCACACACACCCAGAGUCUGCACUGGCAGGACCACUUUACAGAGGCGCGGGGCAUGCCCGGCCCGUUCGGCAAACGUCCCGUGGAAGGCGGGGUGCCCAAACGCUGCUGUGUGGUGAGACAGAGCAGCCAGCAGCCAGCAGCCCAGGGCUGACAGCGCUAAAAAGAGCCACAGCGGGAGUGCUGGCCUCACCAGCUGCCAGUCCCCGCCUGGCAUGAACCAGCCCAAGAGCAGCCCUCACCAAGCUGGGCCCCGGCCACAGCCCUGGGCUGGCCUCAGGGGACCCAGGGAAGAAGGCUGUAGACUGGUGGCCGUGGGGCCUGCUGAGCAGCCAGAGCGCAGCCAGCCUGACCUGCCGGCGCCCAGUCCGGGCUGCCUCCCUCAGCACGGGCACUGCAGACAGACCCGCAGGAGGGGUGAAAUCGCAUCGUCUGCCGUUCCGUAAGGACCGCCCUGCACCAGGACACGGCAGCGCUAGUUCCUCACAGAAGUAAGACGGGCAAACGUGUGAAUCCCUAACGCCGAGACGAAGGGACGGCGGACACCACGGCCCUGGCCUGUCACUUUGAUGGUCAGCACUGGGGCCCCUGGGCGGGGGGAGGCCUAAGUGCCAGCACCCCCGACACACACCAAGAACUCAGAACGGUCCACGAUGACAAGAGGGCCGCACGAGCGUGUCACACCUGCUCUUCAGGAGUAAGGCCCGGGGCCUCAGGGAAGCCGACUGCUAAGCCAGCGGCCACUGCUUUAGGCUCAGUGGGCCGCCGCAGACCCGCGAGUCCUGCCUUUCCCAGGAAACACUCAGAUCUCAGCAUCCUCACUGUUCUAACUGGCAGCGUUCGCAACGAAGGCUGAGGGAACGGAAUUCACUGUCAGGAUCAUGAGACGGGGGGUGCCCUGCCGUGGAGAGCGAGAAGCGUGCAUCCGGGCCCCAGAGCAGAGGCAGCUUCUCCUGAGCCGCGGCCUCGGUCAGGGGAGUCCGGAGACGCCCCACGGCUGGCCCCUCCAAAACUCCUCAGCGACCACCCCUGAGAGACGCAGCCAUCUCGAGGUUUUUGUUUGGACUGUUUUCUGGCUUUGCCCAUGGCAUGUGAAGGUUCUGGGCCACAGAUCAAACCCAUGCCACAGCUGUAACCAGAGCCACGGCAGUGACAAUGAUGGAUCCUUUACCCUCUGAGCCCCCAGGGAACUCUUUUUUUUUUUUAGAAUUUUUUUGUUUUUAAACUGAGGCCUAAGAAGAACCAGAGGACAGGCACAUUUAAGGCCAGCCCAGAUCACCCUCCUCGGGCUGCGAGCUCUCCAGCAAACAGGCCACGAAGGGCCCUGGGGGGCUCUGGCCCCUGCCCACUCGGGGGGCCGCCUGUCUUCCGCUCGGGCGCAACCCCACUGCUGCAGAGGCGAGAGGGCCCUGGGGGCCCAGGAGUGAGGAGACACAGGCAACGGGAGCUGCAGUACCCUGCCCACUGGCACGCCUGCCGCCUCACGAGCCCAGCACCGUGCAGCCACACCACACAGAGGACACGAGCACAGCGGGGCGUUUACCGGACUCUUCCUCGGACUGGGAGGGGGCCACCAGGGCAAACUUGGUGUUGUAGCGUGCUUUCUGCUUCUCCGUGAGCACGUCCCACUGCGACCCCAGCAGCUCUUCGAUCUCCUCAGCAGAGGCGUCUGGGUGCUCGGCGACAACCUGCCAACACAGGAGAGGCAAGGGGGAGGCUCAGCACCUGAAUUCACAGGGCCCGAUGCGCAGCCCUCGGGAGCGCGGCACGUCGGGGAGCUCUGCCCCAUAACAGCUUCAAAGAAAACAGUGUUUAACUGAUGCAGCUACUCAGCCAAAACCAGCGCCGGUGGCUGUGUGAGUGCAGGAAGUGAGAAGCGGUAAGAGAAAAUCACUUCUCCACAGUCGCCCGUCACUGACAAUUUCCCGGGCGCCCGUGAGAAGCCAGCCGUAGGAGGGGCCCUUGGAUGCAGACGGGAGGUCUUGGCCGCACCACCCUCCACCAGGGACAGCGCUCUAAUGUAGCCAGGCCCGAGCUCCCCUGGCCCUGCAGCCCCCACCCCGCAUUUCCACAAGGUCCGCAAGGGACUCAGGUGCUCAGAGGCGGGGGGGCGGGCUGCUGGCCGGAAUAAGCCCGGGGGUAGGGGGUGGACGCUGGCCUGGCAUCACUGCUUUUUUUUUUUUUUUUUUUUGCUUUUUAGCUGGGGGUCAAAUUGAUCUGAGCUGCACCUGCAACCCACGCCAAAGCUUGUGGCAACACCGGAUUCUUACCCACUGAGUGAGGCUAGGGAUCAAGCCCACAUCCUCCCAGAUACUAGUGGGGUUCUUAAUCCGCAGAGCUACAGUGGGAAUUCCUGACUUGACAUUUUUAUUUUAAAGAUGUUCAUUUUUUUCCAUUAUAGUUUGUUUACAGUGUUCUGUCAAUUGUCUACCGUACGGCGAGGUGACCCUGUCACACACACACACAGACACAUUCUUUUUUCUCACAUUAUCCUGCGCUAUCACAAGUGACCGGGUAGAGCUCCCAGUGCUGCACAGCAGGAUCUCAUUGCUUGUCGUUCCAAAGGCCAUAGUUUGCAUCUCCGAAUACCCCAGAUUCCCAGUCCACCCCACUCCCUCCCCUCCCCCUCGGCAACCGCAAGCCUGUUCUCCGAGUCCACGGCUUUCUUUUCUGGAAAGGUUCACCUGUGCCACGUACUAGAGUCCAGACAUGAGUGACAUCAUAUGGUGUUUGCCUUUCUCUUUC
This 3842-nucleotide long non-coding RNA is filed under the name Sus scrofa (pig). RNAcentral describes it as "lncRNA (ENSSSCG00005028386.1)". The record is from RNAcentral. Lineage: Eukaryota; Metazoa; Chordata; Mammalia; Artiodactyla; Suidae.